This 484-nucleotide ribosomal RNA is filed under the name uncultured bacterium. Its description in RNAcentral is "partial 16S ribosomal RNA". It matches the Rfam family "Bacterial small subunit ribosomal RNA", at positions 28 to 523 of the family's 1533-position model. The record is from RNAcentral.
GACGAACGCUGGCGGCGUGCUUAACACAUGCAAGUCGAACGAUGAAGCCGGAGCUUGCUCUGGUGAAUUAGUGGCGAACGGGUGAGUAACACGUGAGUAACCUGCCCUUGACUCUGGGAUAACUGCUAGAAAUGGUAGCUAAUACCGGAUACGACCCUCGGCGGCAUCGCCAGGGGGUGGAAAGAAUUUCGGUCAAGGAUGGACUCGCGGCCUAUCAGCUAGUUGGUGAGGUAACGGCUCACCAAGGCGACGACGGGUAGCCGGCCUGAGAGGGUGACCGGCCACACUGGGACUGAGACACGGCACAGACUCCUACGGGAGGCAGCAGUGGGGAAUAUUGCACAAUGGGCGCAAGCCUGAUGCAGCAACGCCGCGUGAGGGAUGACGGCCUUCGGGUUGUAAACCUCUUUUAGUAGGGAAGAAGCGAAAGUGACGGUACCUGCAGAAAAAGCACCGGCUAACUACGUGCCAGCAGCCGCUGUAA